This 540-nucleotide ribosomal RNA is filed under the name Aspergillus niger. RNAcentral's name for it is "eukaryotic LSU rRNA". The stretch from base 161 to 314 matches the Rfam family "5.8S ribosomal RNA". The record is from RNAcentral. Lineage: Eukaryota; Fungi; Ascomycota; Eurotiomycetes; Eurotiales; Aspergillaceae.
CUCCCAUCCGUGUCUAUUGUACCCUGUUGCUUCGGCGGGCCCGCCGCUUGACGGCCGCCGGGGGGGCGCCUCUGCCCCCCGGGCCCGUGCCCGCCGGAGACCCCAACACGAACACUGUCUGAAAGCGUGCAGUCUGAGUUGAUUGAAUGCAAUCAGUUAAAACUUUCAACAAUGGAUCUCUUGGUUCCGGCAUCGAUGAAGAACGCAGCGAAAUGCGAUAACUAAUGUGAAUUGCAGAAUUCAGUGAAUCAUCGAGUCUUUGAACGCACAUUGCGCCCCCUGGUAUUCCGGGGGGCAUGCCUGUCCGAGCGUCAUUGCUGCCCUCAAGCCCGGCUUGUGUGUUGGGUCGCCGUCCCCCUCUCCGGGGGGACGGGCCCGAAAGGCAGCGGCGGCACCGCGUCCGAUCCUCGAGCGUAUGGGGCUUUGUCACAUGCUCUGUAGGAUUGGCCGGCGCCUGCCGACGUUUUCCAACCAUUCUUUCCAGGUUGACCUCGGAUCAGGUAGGGAUACCCGCUGAACUUAAGCAUAUCAAUAAGCGGA